This 253-nucleotide ribosomal RNA is filed under the name uncultured bacterium. RNAcentral describes it as "partial 16S ribosomal RNA". It matches the Rfam family "Bacterial small subunit ribosomal RNA", at positions 524 to 776 of the family's 1533-position model. The record is from RNAcentral.
UACGGAGGGUGCAAGCGUUGUUCGGAAUCAUUGGGCGUAAAGCGCGUGUAGGCGGCUUGGCAAGUCGGUUGUGAAAGCCCGGGGCCCAACCCCGGAACUGCAUCCGAAACUGCCUGGCUAGAGUCCCGGAGAGGAAGGCAGAAUUCCCGGUGUAGGGGUGAAAUCCGUAGAUAUCGGGAGGAAUACCAGCGGCGAAGGCGGCCUUCUGGACGGUGACUGACGCUGAGACGCGAAAGCGUGGGGAGCAAAACGG